This 1036-nucleotide ribosomal RNA is filed under the name metagenome. RNAcentral describes it as "bacterial SSU rRNA". It matches the Rfam family "Archaeal small subunit ribosomal RNA", at positions 422 to 1467 of the family's 1478-position model. The record is from RNAcentral.
AUGAGCAUAUCGAAUAAGUGAUGGGCAAGACUGGUGCCAGCAGCCGCGGUAAUACCAGCGUCACGAGUGGAGUUCGCUUUUAUUGGGUCUAAAGUGUCCGUAGCUGGUUUGAUCAGUUCUUUGUGAAAUUUCUUUGGCUUAACCAAGAAAUUGCAAGGAAUACUGUCAAACUUGAGACCGGGAGAGGUAAGAAGUAUUGUUUGGGUAGCGGUAAAAUGUUAUAAUCCUUACAAGACUAACUAAUGCGAAGGCAUCUUACUAGAACGGAUCUGACAGUGAGGGACGAAAGCUAGGGUAGCGAACCGGAUUAGAUACCCGGGUAGUCCUAGCCGUAAACGCUGCGGGUUACGCUUUGCUAAAUCUACGAGAUUUAGCAGGGGGGAAGCGAAGGCGUUAAACCCGCCACCUGGGAAGUACAGCCGCAAGGCCGAAACUUAAAGGAAUUGCCGGGGGAGUACUACAAGCGGUGCGGCGUGCGGUUUAAUUGGAUUUUACACCGAGAAACUUACCAGAAGCGACAGCACAAUGAAGGUCAGAUUAAAGGUUUUACCUGAGGCGCUGAGAGGUGCUGCAUGGCCGCCGUCAGCUCGUGCUGUAAGGUGUCCUCUUAAGUGAGGAAACGAGCAAGACCUAUGCUUAUAAUUGCUAACCAAGUCUUUUGGUGCACAUUAUAAGGACUGCCUUGGAAACGAGGAGGAAGGUGUAGGCGACGGUAGGUCUGUAUAGCCCGAAUCUUCUGGGCUACACGCGCGCAACAAUGGUAGGGACAAUGAGUCGCCACUCCGAAAGGAGGAGCUAAUCUUUAAACCCUAUCCAAGUUUAGAUUGAGGUUUGUAACUCAGCCUCAUGACAUUGGAAUCGCUAGUAAUCGGACGUUAUCAGCGUCCGGUGAAUAUGUCCAUUCUCCUUGGACACACUGCCCGUCAUAUCAACCAAGUAGGGUUGAGACGAGGUGUUGUUUUUUGACAAUAUCAAGUCUCAGCUUUGUAAGGGGGGUCAAGUCGUCACAACGUAUCCGUAUGGGAACCUGCGGAUG